RNAcentral lists this ribosomal RNA (674 nucleotides) under uncultured fungus. RNAcentral describes it as "eukaryotic LSU rRNA". The stretch from base 311 to 464 matches the Rfam family "5.8S ribosomal RNA". Lineage: Eukaryota; Fungi. The record is from RNAcentral.
UAUGGGCAUUCGGCUGGGUAGCCAAUGCUUAAGAUAUAGUCGGGCCUUGAUGGAAACAUUAGGGAGUAAGUCACUGUAUGAUUUACUGUCAUUUAAAAAGCAUAGAGUCCUCUAAGCUAUGACGUACAACCGUUCCGUAGGUGAACCUGCGGAAGGAUCAUUACAGAGUUCAUGCCCGAAAGGGUAGACCUCCCACCCUUGUGUAUUAUUACUUUGUUGCUUUGGCGAGCUGCCUUCGGGCCUUGUAUGCUCGUCAGAGGCCUAUAAAACUCUUUUUAUUAAUGUCGUCUGAGUACUAUAUAAUAGUUAAAACUUUCAACAACGGAUCUCUUGGUUCUGGCAUCGAUGAAGAACGCAGCGAAAUGCGAUAAGUAAUGUGAAUUGCAGAAUUCAGUGAAUCAUCGAAUCUUUGAACGCACAUUGCGCCCCUUGGUAUUCCGGGGGGCAUGCCUGUUCGAGCGUCAUUUCAACCCUCAAGCACUGCUUGGUAUUGAGCCCUAUGUCAGAAAUGGCAGGCUCUAAAAUCAGCGGCGGCGCCGCUGGGUCCUGAACGUAGUAAUAUCUCUCGUUACAGGCUCUCAGUGUGCUUCUGCCAAAACCCCAAAUUUUUUUAUGGUUGACCUCGGAUCAGGUAGGGAUACCCGCUGAACUUAAGCAUAUCAAUAAGCGGAGGA